GUAGCAGCCCGGUGUUGGAGGUCGGGCAUGCUCCUGAAACGUCCACUGCGAACUGAUCCACUGGCGCCGAAAUGAGCGCGAUUAAGAUGAAAAUACACGCAAACAAGACACAGAAACGCUUUUAAGUCGUAAUUUUACCCAACGGUUAACCCGCGACUGGGACGCAAAGCGUGGAGGAACAGCAGAAGAGCUUUGGGAAGUGUCCGUCCGUUUUGUCCUACAAAGGCGGCGGGUGUUUGACAGCGGGAGGGCCCGACGUUAGGAAACCGCUGCGGCUGAAGGAGGAGGAGGCAGGAGAAGGAGGAGGAAGGCUCUCUGAAGACUCAAUGAAACAUUAAGGAGUCAUUUCUGCUGAGGGAAGCGAGCUGAAUCAUGAGGAAGGACGUGAGGAUACUCCUUGUUGGAGAGCCCAAGGUGGGGAAGACGUCACUGAUCAUGUCUCUGGUUAGUGAGGAGUUUCCUGAUGAGGUUCCUCUGAGAGCUGAAGAGAUCACCAUUCCAGCUGACGUGACCCCAGAGAGGGUUCCCACACACAUCGUGGAUUACUCUGAAGCAGAGCAGACUGAUGAGCAGCUGUAUCAAGAAAUAUCCAAAGCAAACGUGAUCUGCAUAGUUUAUUCAGUUAACAACAAGAAGUCCAUCGAAAAGGUGACAAGCCACUGGAUUCCUCUUAUAAACGACCGCACAGAUAAAGACAGCAGGGUACCACUGAUUCUCGUGGGGAACAAGUCGGACCUGGUGGAGCACAGCAGCAUGGAGACCAUCCUGCCCAUCAUGAAUCAGUACCAGGACAUUGAGACCUGUGUAGAGUGUUCUGCCAAGAACCUGAAGAACAUCUCUGAGCUUUUCUACUACGCCCAGAAGGCUGUUCUCCACCCGACGGGGCCCCUGUACUGCCCAGAGGAGAAGGAGUUGAAACCUUCCUGCAUUAAGGCUUUAACUCGGAUAUUUAAAAUCUCCGACCUGGACAACGACGGGGUCCUGAAUGACAACGAACUCAACUUUUUCCAGAGAACCUGUUUCAACACGCCUCUGGCACCUCAAGCCUUAGAAGAUGUGAAGAACGUGGUGAGGAGAAACAUGACAGAUGGAGUCAGAGACAAUGGACUCACCCUCAAAGGCUUCCUCUUCCUGCACACUCUGUUCAUUCAGCGAGGUCGACACGAAACCACGUGGACGGUGCUGAGGAGGUUCGGCUAUGACGACGAUCUGGAGCUCACGCAGGAAUAUCUGUUCCCUCUGGUAAAAGUCCCUCCAGACUGCACCACCGAGCUAAACCACAACGCUUACCUCUUUCUGCAGAGUGUCUUUGACAAACACGACAAAGACAGAGACUGUGCACUUUCCCCAGAGGAAGUGAAGGACUUGUUCAACGUGUUUCCCUACAUGCCCUGGGGUCCAGAUGUCAACAACACGGUGUGCACCAACGAGGAGGGAUGGAUCACAUACCAGGGAUACCUCUCCCAGUGGACGUUAACAACAUAUCUGGAUGUCCAGAGGAGUUUGGAGUAUUUAGGUUACCUCGGCUACUCCAUCAUCUACGAACAGGAGUCCCAGGCUGCUGCUAUUACUGUGACGCGUAGCAAGAGUAUUGAUCUUCAGAAGAAACAAACGCAGCGCAGCGUCUUCCGGUGUAACGUGUUGGGGGCGCGCGGCAGCGGGAAAAGUGGCUUCCUGCAAGCUUUCCUUGGCAGAAACCUGCAGAGACAGAUGCGGAUCAGAGAAGACCACAAGUCCUACUAUGCCAUCAGUACGACCUAUGUUUAUGGUCAGGAGAAGUACCUGCUGCUCCACGAGGUGAUGUCAGAUUUCGACAUCCUGUCCGAGCCCGACCUGGCCUGCGACGUGGUCUGCCUUGUGUACGACGUCAAUGACCCUCGUUCCUUCGAGUACUGUGCUAAAGUCUAUAAGGAAUGCUUCAUAGACAGCAAAACGCCCUGCGUCGUUGUCGCUGCCAAGUCCGACCUGCACGAGGUCCGGCAGCAGUACAGCCAGUCACCGCUCGACUUCUGUCGCAAGCACAAGCUCCACCCACCGCAGCCGUUCACAUGCAACACGGCCGAAGCACCCAGUAAGGACCUCUACACCAGACUCACCACCAUGGCCAUGUACCCCUCCAGCCGGUCGAGCCGCUCUCUGUUCAGUCUGGCACAUGGCGGUGUGACCAGCCUGUGCCGGCUGACGCCCAGGCUGCUAGCCAGGGAGGUACCGUGUGUCUGCGUGGAAGUGGCGUGUUGCAUGCUGCAUGACUGCAGCGCGAGCUAAACGGACAGGGAAACGUUUUUGUUUUCAGAGGCUUUUUUUUAUUAAAUGAGGAUUGAUUUAUUAAAGCGAGAGACGUAAAUACAACGUUUGCACAUUUUUAAGCCAAUAAUUAUAAGUUUGUCCCAAGGCUUGACAGUAUAAUCUCUCAAUUUCUUAUAUUGACAAUUUCCAAUUUUAAGCAUUUUCCCCUCAUUUCUUUUCUAGUAAAAAUAAAUUACAAUUGACAGAAAAUAUUUUCAAAACUGGCUCUUAUUGAAAUUGUCCCUUUUUUGAGUUGUACGUUGGAGUUUCAGGGCCUGACUACCAGAGGAAAAUUUAUUACAAGAAUAUAUUCAUAAUAUUAGCUGUAUUAAGACAAUUUAUUUUGUUCCUCCUUCGAAAUAUUUAGUUGUUUACAUGAUUCUUUCAAAGUCUGGCUACAGAUAAUUUGAUGAUGAUCUUUCAAAAGUAUUUUAAAAAGUAUUUCUGUAAAUUAUCUGUAUACUCUUCCCUCCUUUAAUUUAGUUUUGGAGUUCUAAUAAAAUGACUACUUUAUUCUUUUGAUAUUAUGACUUUAUUCCUGGAAUUAAAAAAUAAAUAAAUUAAUCUUAACCUGGUGCUGCUAUUCCAUCAUUGAGUUGACCUGAAUUCAAAGUCCAAAUAAAUAAAAGCUGUGAAACUCGAUUGUCAAACAACAUGGCCGCCCUGGGCGUUCUGACAUCACUCUGAACUAUGGAAUUCCAAGAAGUGCAUUUGUGGGGAAAAAACAUAAAAAAUUCAGAUUUACCAGAAAUUAAAUGUUCAAAAACCUAAAAUAUGACUAAUUGAUCAAGUUGAAUUUACUUCCAAGCUCUAGUUUGGAGUUAAUGUCACUUUUGAUGCAUUUAAAGAUACAGAAAACGAACUAAAACUUCUCACAGCCUUUUCUAGCUUGUGUGAAUCGUCAGAUCGGUGAGCUGUUUGAGGUCCUGCAGUGGAUUUCCAGACUGUAAACUCUGACUUAAUUAUAUACAAAAUGAGAGAAACACAGACAGUCUUCUGUUUGUGUUUCAUCUGCUCUGAAAACUUCAUUCUGUUCAGCAUGUUCAAUUUCUCACUGAACUCAAAAAUCCCAAACACUUGUUUUCUCUGGAUAACUUUAAUCAGCUGCUGGUCUGAUAAGAUUUGAUGUUUUCAGUCUCAUUUUGUCUUUAUUUCUUUGCCUAAUGCUCAAGUCUUAACACACAGUGGACCAUAAUAUUUCUGCUUUAUAUUUAUACUAGAAUUGAACAUAACCAGGUUAUGUUCAAUGUCUCCUGUGUGUUAACGCCUGAUGAAUUUGAUUAACAGGCUUUUUGAAAUCGGAAUGUGUGUUUUUAUAUUUUUUGAUUGAUUAAAUUGCACCGAUCACUUUCAUUUCAUCCUGUUUUUCUUUCCCCCCCCCACGCCUGUUAAUGUCUUUCCUCUCUGUAGGUUUUCAUAUCCGUGUUUCUGGCUGCCGCUUUUCCUCUUCCUCUUGCAUCUCUUAACCCUUUUUUAACACUUGAUAAUCUGGCUUACUUGUUCUCUAGCUUUUAAAUUAAACCCAUGUUGGUGCUUAGCGAAAUGCUGCCAUCUACUGGUGCGUGAGCGGUUUUGUCUUUGUCUCUGUAAUAACAGGAGCUCAGUGUUUUGAAUCUAGUGGGAGUUUGGUUUAACCAGACUGAUGGAAAUUGUCGGGUGUGGGAAUGUUUCUGAUAGAUGUGACCCAAAUGGAACCGGACCGUACCACGUUUCAUUCAGUGCUAACCAUUUUUUUGUUUUGGUUCCUUUUUCUUCUUCUUCUCGGUUAUUAAAGCAGCAUGUACCUGUAGAUCAUCACAACCUGCAGAGCUGCAACGACUUAAGGAAAUGCUUUGGGUUUAUUAAAGUUUCACGCCAGCACAGCCAGAGUGGUUAAAAAGAUGAAUCUGAUAAUAAAUGAAAGAAUGAUAAUAACUUCACACUAUAAUAAUAGGUUUAUCGGGGGACAUUGUUACUUUCCAGGCUGGCUAUUUUUGGUGUGAACUGGGUUUAUUUGCUGUGUUUGUGGAGCUUUUUGUGUUUGAACUCUAAAGAGAUGUGAAGCUGGGUGAAACUGUUUUUUUUUUUUUAUCAUUAUUCUUUUUUGUUCUAUCGUUUUAUAAGAUUCAAAGGAAAUUUUUCUGUUAAUGGAAAACAAACAAACUGGAAUCACUACUUAUUCAUUGAUUUGAUCAAAUUCAACAACCUUUAACAGUAUAAAGCUUGAAGAUUUUGGAUGUAUAUACAUUUUUAAAAAAUAUUUAAUGUUUACUUAAGUUUUUUUUUUAAGUACAUUAAAUCAUAGUUUAAUACACUCAUACAAUUAUAUUAUAGGAUGCACUAAGAUUCUUCCAUUGUUUUGAAAUUGGAAGGAAUUCAUUGAUGAACCUUUAACAAAAGUGCUUCACAAAUGAUAAUAUUUGUCAAUUGUCAUUGCAAAUGAAACCAACCAACUAACUUGAGAUUUUAACAGUAAUUUCAUUUAAUAUAAUGCAUUGUAUUCAUAACUGAAAUCUUAAACAUGAGAGUAUCAGCAACAGGGCUUAACGGGAUUCACUGGGCGAAAAGUCUAAUUAUGAAUUGUUUAAAAUAUAUUUUUUAAAGAAUCCUGGUCAUUUUGAGGCUCCCUGAUGUUUGAUAUUAGUUUCCUUCUGUAUCAGAGAUAAUAAACUAGAGGUCAUAAUUAGGAUUUUCCCUCCAUUCCCUGAAAGAUUUAAGAUCUUGAUCACCUAAACCUCUACUGGGGUGAUCGUUGAAUGCCGAUUUACUGGCCACACACUGCUGCUAUCAGGAUGGAGAUUUUUUUUGAUUUUAUUUAUUUUUUAUGAAAAAGACUCAACAAGGUUUCUGGAACAUUCCUUUUUUGCUCCAUAUUAACAGGAAAGGAUUGUAUAGUUGGUUGAAGUUUUGUCUUCUGCACAUCCAGAAUGCAUAAGAUGUUUCGCCCCUAGAGAACUACAUAGCAGUGAAACCUGUUGAUUAAUCACUUUGAACACCAACAAGCCAUUUCCUGACCCCUGACUUGAGAUGUUUGCAUUUAGUCCCUUAAAUCUUUGUUCUUCCACGUUUUGAUGUGGAAGAACAAAAUCUUGACGCCUAAACCCACUAAGUCUCUGCUUUGUGACUGGUAGCCAAAUCGGUGUACCUAAUAAAGUUGCUUAAACAGACUUGUGAUUAUUAAACUUCACACACUGAUAUUGAUAUUCCUGUAUCAUGCAGGUUAAAAUGAAACAAACCACCUUGGAUUUGAUAUUAAUGUUAAUGCCGUUUGUAAAUUCCUAAUGAUAAAACAGUAACAGAUGCAUCACUAAUCUCUAGCUGCAGCCCCAGUGUGUGUAAUUCUGCGGUAUCUCCCAGCUUCACCUGCUGUGUGGCGUUGUGACUGUGUUUGUGGGAACGCUGCUGGGUUGGGUGGAUGUAGCGCUGAGCUUCCUGCUGUGAAGGGAGGAUUUCAGGCUGGUGCUGCAGGUUAGACGGUCAUCUCCAACAAGGCCUCCGCUUGAGCAGCCAGCUUCUCCACAAAGGCACAUGGCCCAGGCGGACCUGAAGAACUCCACCUUCUGGCUGAGGGCCAGCCUCGGUGCCACCGUGUUCGCAGUGUUGGGCUUCGCCAUGUACAAAG
RNA transcript from Poeciliopsis prolifica (blackstripe livebearer), 5887 nucleotides. It is a transcript of the gene named ras homolog family member T1a, with no coding region annotated. The record is from RefSeq and is a predicted model, not a curated record. The transcript is spliced from 20 exons. NCBI's taxonomy places the organism in Eukaryota, Metazoa, Chordata, Actinopteri, Cyprinodontiformes, Poeciliidae.